ACCACGUUGAUAGGACGGGUGUGGAAGCACAGCAAUGUGUGAAGCUUACCGUUACUAAUAGCUCGAUCGACUUCUUCGUUCCCAUU
RNAcentral lists this ribosomal RNA (86 nucleotides) under Agrobacterium tumefaciens. RNAcentral describes it as "partial 23S ribosomal RNA". It matches the Rfam family "Bacterial large subunit ribosomal RNA", at positions 2847 to 2925 of the family's 2925-position model. Lineage: Bacteria; Pseudomonadati; Pseudomonadota; Alphaproteobacteria; Hyphomicrobiales; Rhizobiaceae. The record is from RNAcentral.